This is a non-coding RNA of Oryzias latipes (Japanese medaka), 2006 nucleotides long. Lineage: Eukaryota; Metazoa; Chordata; Actinopteri; Beloniformes; Adrianichthyidae. The record is from RefSeq and is a predicted model, not a curated record.
ACAAAUAUUUUUCGAAUAUACAGUUUUUUAUUGAAAAAACUGUAUAUUUAAUGUACAAUUUUUCUAUUGUUUUUUUUUUAAAUUGACAUUGUCUAUUAUUCAACUGUCCAAUCUUUCAUUCACUUGAAGGUGACCCUGAUUUGACCCCACAGGAUUCUGCACAGGUGGAAGGAGGACUGGAGGCUCACACCUGUUCACCAUCUUCUCCUAAUUUUUGAGUUUGAACCAAAAAAAGGGGGUAGUGAAGAACCACACGAUGCACGAAGGAAUAAAAGGUGUAAAGAUGAGCAGCUGCAGUGAAAACAAUCAUCUUCUUGUUCUCUACAUCCAUCCAGAAAUAUAUAUUCUCUGAAAACAAAAAAAUCAUUUGGUCCUUACUAUCACUCGACUUCAACCUAUGAAGCUGAAGUUUUGACCUCAAAACGAAAGUUUUAAAGUGCUUCAAUAAAUUCAAUUUGAGCUUUUUUCUUGUAAAAACUUUUGCGGCAUGGAAGUCUGAGAAAGACUUGUGGGGAAACCUUUCCGUCAAUCUGCAACAGACUUUUUAAUUGAAAGUGCAAAUUGCCGAAGUGACAUCUAGACCAAAAACAGCCCUCCAGCGGUGGAGCACAUUGGCGGAGGUUUAAUGAUCUGGGCUCAUUCUAGGGCCACCUGGACAUCCUGAAGCCAAUUGGUUGAGGAUUUUUUAUUUUUAGGGAUAAAUUUGAUGAAACGGAUCGUCAGUUGGCGAAACUGUUGAAACUCUCUUGCGAAAACGCAAAUUUCUAAUCAGUCAGUCGCGCAGAAGCAGCUCAAGACAUGAGGAAUAUUCUACACUGAGCAACAUGUCAAACUUCAGCUAAACCACGACUUGAUAUAUAUUAUUUUUUCCUGAUGCCAGGUGUUGGAGAACGCCAGAUGUGUUGGAAUCAAAAGCCCAUCUGUUACAUCCCAGAUAUCAAAGGAUGUUUUCCUAAAAAAGAGGGAAGGAUGGCCUUUCGUCAAACCCUUUGAUCUUACCUUGUCUUAACAGUUUGACCCCCUCCUCCUCCUCCUUUAGGACCUUUGAUCCGGAUCACCUGGCAGAUUUAAAUCUGCUAAAUGCUUUUUAAAUCUGACAAAGACUCAUUCUUAACCAGCUCUAGAACACAGUAGUGUUACAACCAAGGUCACAUGACCUGAUCUGAUGAAUCUGAAUCGGUGCUGCAUUCACACAGUGGGGACAGAAUUCCGAGUGAAAACAUUUUCAAACUCACACACACAUUAUGGAUGUUAUCAAGCUGCUGUGUCGCUGGCUGACUAAAGAUCUGCUCCUAUAGGCAGUAAGAAAAAAGCAGAACGUGUUUGGCCUUUUUACCUAUUUACAGGUACCAGAUUUUAUUUUGAAAAUCGCCCCCCCUUGUCAAAACGUGAUGUCAGGAGAGGCGCUAUCUUUUGCCGCGCCGCUUCCAUGUGUGGUGUUUCUGUACGUUCAAAUGCAAAGAUGUGUCAUUGCCGGAUAUUUGCAGGAUUUUUUUUUUAAGCUUCUGGUUUUGUUUGCCAAGAAGUUCUCGUGUUCCAAAGUUACUUGGGAACUCAACCCCGCCCCCCGCUAAAACCACACGUUAAGCUCAAAGCCAACCCCACGCAAUACAAUCUUGCCAUUCGCCUUUGGCCUGGCACUGAGCGUUCUGAUGUCAAAAGCUUCACACUGUGAUUUCAGGGCAACCCCCCCCCCCCCACCCAUGUCGCUGCUCUGGCUAGCCCUGCUGCAGCUCAGUGAAUGUGACAGAGUGAUAGCUGGCCAGCAGGGGGAGCUACUGCUGCUUAAGAGAUGAACUGAGCAACUAGUGGUCUGUUGAUGUUUUUUCCCCUUAAAGUUCAUAUAGAAGGAAGGUUGCAGCACACUACGAAGGAAAUGUAAGCCAGGAAGAAUCGAAUGUUUACGAGACACUAGGACUUUUUUUCUUUUUCUUUUUUUUAGAAUAUUUUGUGUGUGAAUAUUUGUACACAGUAGAUGAAUUAAUAAAAAAGAAACAUCUGAGAUA